RNAcentral lists this ribosomal RNA (793 nucleotides) under uncultured archaeon. RNAcentral describes it as "bacterial SSU rRNA". It matches the Rfam family "Archaeal small subunit ribosomal RNA", at positions 85 to 879 of the family's 1478-position model. The record is from RNAcentral.
ACUGCUCAGUAACACGUGGACAACCUGCCCUAAGGUCUGGAAUAACCCCGGGAAACUGGGGAUAAUACCGGAUAAGCCAUAGAUGCUGGAAUGCUCUGUGGUUAAAAGCUCCGGCGCCUUAGGAUGGAUCUGCGGCCUAUCAGGUAGUAGUGGGUGUAAUGUACCUACUAGCCUACGACGGGUACGGGUUGUGAGAGCAAGAGCCCGGAGAUGGAUUCUGAGACAUGAAUCCAGGCCCUACGGGGCGCAGCAGGCGCGAAAACUUUACAAUGCGGGAAACCGCGAUAAGGGGACACUGAGUGCCAGCACCAUGUGUUGGCUGUCCGCAUGUAUAAAUCACAUGUGUCAGCAAGGGCCGGGCAAGACCGGUGCCAGCCGCCGCGGUAACACCGGCGGCCCGAGUGGUGGCCAUUAUUAUUGGGUCUAAAGGGUCCGUAGCCGGUUUGAUCAGUCUUCCGGGAAAUCUGACAGCUCAACUGUUAGGCUUCUGGGGGAUACUGUCAGACUUGGAACCGGGAGAGGUAAGAGGUACUACAGGGGUAGGAGUGAAAUCUUGUAAUCCUUGUGGGACCACCAGUGGCGAAGGCGUCUUACCAGAACGGGUUCGACGGUGAGGGACGAAAGCUGGGGGCACGAACCGGAUUAGAUACCCGGGUAGUCCCAGCCGUAAACGAUGCUCGCUAGGUGUCUGGGAUGGUGCGACCGUUUCAGGUGCCGCAGGGAAGCCGUGAAGCGAGCCACCUGGGAAGUACGGCCGCAAGGCUGAAACUUAAAGGAAUUGGCGGGGGAGCAC